This 253-nucleotide ribosomal RNA is filed under the name uncultured bacterium. RNAcentral's name for it is "partial 16S ribosomal RNA". It matches the Rfam family "Bacterial small subunit ribosomal RNA", at positions 524 to 775 of the family's 1533-position model. The record is from RNAcentral.
UACAGAGGGUGCGAGCGUUGUCCGGAAUCACUGGGCGUAAAGGGCGCGUAGGUGGUGGCUUAAGCGUGCGGUGAAAGCUCGGGGCUCAACUCCGAGUCGGCCGUGCGAACUGGGCUCACUGGAGCAUAGUAGAGGCAGGUGGAAUUCCGGGUGUAGCGGUGGAAUGCGUAGAGAUCCGGAAGAACACCGGUGGCGAAGGCGGCCUGCUGGGCUAUGGCUGACACUGAGGCGCGGACAGCGUGGGAGCAACAGG